ACACCGGCAGCCCAAGUGGUGGCCAUUUUUAUUGGGCCUAAAGCGUUCGUAGCCGGCCUGAUAAGUCUCUGGUGAAAUCCCGCAGCUUAACUGUGGGAAUUGCUGGAGAUACUAUCAGGCUUGAGGUCGGGAGAGGUUAGAGGUACUCCCAGGGUAGGGGUGAAAUCCUAUAAUCCUGGGAGGACCACCUGUGGCGAAGGCGUCUAACUGGAACGACCCUGACGGUGAGUAACGAAAGCCAGGGGCGCGAACCGGAUUAGAUACCCGGGUAGUCCUGGCCGUAAACGAUGUGGACUUGGUGUUGGGAUGGCCUCGAGCUGCCCCAGUGCCGAAGGGAAGCUGUUAAGUCCACCGCCUGGGAAGUACGGUCGCAAGACUGAAACUUAAAUGAAUUGGCGGG
RNAcentral lists this ribosomal RNA (400 nucleotides) under uncultured bacterium. RNAcentral's name for it is "partial 16S ribosomal RNA". It matches the Rfam family "Archaeal small subunit ribosomal RNA", at positions 473 to 872 of the family's 1478-position model. The record is from RNAcentral.